AAUCGUAUAAGAAUGGUUAAUAAUUCAUCGAGAUUUAGGAAUUUUAAUAUAAGACGUCACGAAAAUUCAUUUCCAAUUCAAAGUUAAUUUAACGAACCUUUUUUUCUCGUGAUUCUAGAAAUUUUAUAUUCACGUUUCAGCGUCAAAUUAUUAUGCCCAUCAUAUUGAAUAUCUCGGGGUUGCAUAAACUGAACCACUUUUAAUAAUCACGUCGGCUAUAUUGCAAUCUUCAUCAUUUUUUUUUUUCGAACUUGAGUGAUGAAACAUCGGAGUCGUCUUGAUAAAUUGAAGAGCAAAAAGAAACGGAAAAAACCACUCCAUUGGCUGUCACAGUUCAAAUCAAAAUUCUUUCACGAUGAGCAACUGACAGAGCAGCCGCCAUUUGUACGAACCGCCCCCUGUAACCUAACCUCAGUUUGACCGCUAAAAUAUACUUUUCCGAAUGGGAUCGACGACGACCUCAAUCUUCUCCGUGUGUAGCAUUCGACCUUCCCCUAUGCGAUAAUGAUCUCCGGGAUUACGAAGUGUACCCAUCGUUUUUUUAAACAUUCGAUUUACAAAUAAUACUGUAAAAUUACGAACAUCGAGGAACGCAGUCGGAAAUGGGAAACGGACCGUUCUAACCUUAAAAAUUGGGUCGUUCCCUUCGAGCGACGCAAAAAAAUACUUUCCGUUUAUGAAUACCUGCACUUCACUGGCAAGCACUUCGAAGCUUAUAGCUUUGAAAGAGCGAGGUUGCUCUACAUAUCAUAUUGCUGCAUUAAAUAGUAAAAUAUGGACAUUUCGAAAUGUCUGAAAUGUAUACUGCUUAUUUGACUUGUUGCUACGACAGUACGUCUCUUACCUUGAAUUAAAGACGCGGCUCGUCUCUCGUGCGAGCAGCCGCGCCUUUUUUCAACGUGUGCACAACGUAUACACGACGAUUCACGCAUAUUGCACGCGGAAUACAACAAAAAAGGACAUUUGACGAACGAGAACACACGCGUGUGUAUAUGAGGGAACGAGUUUUCAAUCGCAGUAAUUCGUGUGGGCGGAACGUGAGGGACUCGCACGUUUGUAUGUUUGCCUCGGUUCCAGAAAUUCACGGCUGAUAUUCGUCCAGCCGGCAUUACUAGUCAUCGCGCCCGCGUUACUGUGCAGCGAAUAUAAUUUCGACCCCAUCAACAGGAAUUUUCCGUUCCAACGUUCUUUUUUCAACAAACCCGUGUUUUUAGCUCUCAAAAGUCUCACAAACGAUCCCAAUUUUUUAAUAGUAGAUAAAUAUCAAUAAUUUGCAUUGUUCAGAACUUUAUUGUUUUGUAUAAUUUUUAUUAUUGAAUUAUCAUCAUCACAUGCAAUGUAGUCACAUAUCACGUUCUUUGUUAUUAAAAACUGUGAGAAUAGAGUACAA
Venturia canescens is the source of this 1390-nucleotide long non-coding RNA. RefSeq lists it as uncharacterized. NCBI's taxonomy places the organism in Eukaryota, Metazoa, Arthropoda, Insecta, Hymenoptera, Ichneumonidae. The transcript is spliced from 2 exons. The record is from RefSeq and is a predicted model, not a curated record.